Molecule: ribosomal RNA, 477 nt
Filed under: Candidatus Brocadia fulgida
Lineage: Bacteria; Pseudomonadati; Planctomycetota; Candidatus Brocadiia; Candidatus Brocadiales; Candidatus Brocadiaceae
Description: bacterial SSU rRNA
Rfam family: Bacterial small subunit ribosomal RNA
Source: RNAcentral
UUCGCAAUGCCCGAAAGGGUGACGAAGCGACGCCGCGUGCGGGAAGAAGGCCUUCGGGUUGUAAACUGCUGUCGGGAGUUAAGAAGUGCAAGGGUGUUAAUAGCAUCUUUGCUUGACUAAGGCUCCGGAGGAAGCCACGGCUAACUCUGUGCCAGCAGCCGCGGUAAUACAGAGGCGGCAAGCGUUGUUCGGAAUUAUUGGGCGUAAAGAGCACGUAGGCGGCUAUGCAAGUCGGUUGUGAAAGCCUUCCGCUCAACGGAAGAACGGCAUCCGAUACUGCAUGGCUCGAGUGCGGGAGGGGAGAGUGGAACUUCUGGUGGAGCGGUGAAAUGCGUAGAUAUCAGAAGGAACACCGGCGGCGAAAGCGACUCUCUAGCCCGUAACUGACGCUGAGUGUGCGAAAGCUAGGGGAGCAAACGGGAUUAGAUACCCCGGUAGUCCUAGCCGUAAACGAUGGGCACUAAGUAGAGGGGUUUU